AAACAGGUGCUAAUACCGGAUAAUAAAGCAGAUCGCAUGAUCAGCUUUUGAAAGGCGGCGUAAGCUGUCGCUAAGGGAUGGCCCCGCGGUGCAUUAGCUAGUUGGUAAGGUAACGGCUUACCAAGGCGACGAUGCAUAGCCGAGUUGAGAGACUGAUCGGCCACAUUGGGACUGAGACACGGCCCAAACUCCUACGGGAGGCAGCAGUAGGGAAUCUUCCACAAUGGACGCAAGUCUGAUGGAGCAACGCCGCGUGAGUGAAGAAGGUUUUCGGAUCGUAAAGCUCUGUUGUUGGUGAAGAAGGAUAGAGGUAGUAACUGGCCUUUAUUUGACGGUAAUCAACCAGAAAGUCACGGCUAACUACGUGCCAGCAGCCGCGGUAAUACGUAGGUGGCAAGCGUUGUCCGGAUUUAUUGGGCGUAAAGCGAGCGCAGGCGGAAAAAUAAGUCUAAUGUGAAAGCCCUCGGCUUAACCGAGGAACUGCAUCGGAAACUGUUUUUCUUGAGUGCAGAAGAGGAGAGUGGAACUCCAUGUGUAGCGGUGGAAUGCGUAGAUAUAUGGAAGAACACCAGUGGCGAAGGCGGCUCUCUGGUCUGCAACUGACGCUGAGGCUCGAAAGCAUGGGUAGCGAACAGGAUUAGAUACCCUGGUAGUCCAUGCCGUAAACGAUGAGUGCUAAGUGUUGGGAGGUUUCCGCCUCUCAAUGCUGCACCUAACGCAUUAAGCACUCCGCCUGGGGAGUACGA
RNAcentral lists this ribosomal RNA (746 nucleotides) under uncultured bacterium. Its description in RNAcentral is "bacterial SSU rRNA". It matches the Rfam family "Bacterial small subunit ribosomal RNA", at positions 154 to 885 of the family's 1533-position model. The record is from RNAcentral.